Molecule: ribosomal RNA, 486 nt
Filed under: uncultured bacterium
Lineage: Bacteria
Description: partial 16S ribosomal RNA
Rfam family: Bacterial small subunit ribosomal RNA
Source: RNAcentral
GACGAACGCUGGCGGCGUGCUUAACACAUGCAAGUCGAACGGGAUCCAAUGGCUUUUUGUUUUUGGUGAGAGUGGCGAACGGGUGAGUAACACGUGAGUAACCUGCCCCCUUCUUUUGGAUAACCGCAUGAAAGUGUGGCUAAUACAGGAUAUUCCAGGCUGGUCGCAUGAUUGGGUUGGGAAAUGGUUUGGUCUGGUGGGGGAUGGGCUCGCGGCCUAUCAGCUUGUUGGUGGGGUGAUGGCCUACCAAGGCGGUGACGGGUAGCCGGCCUGAGAGGGUGGGCGGUCACACUGGGACUGAGAUACGGCCCAGACUCCUACGGGAGGCAGCAGUGGGGGAUUUUGCACAAUGGGCGCAAGCCUGAUGCAGCGACGCCGCGUGAGGGAUGAAGGCCUUCGGGUUGUAAACCUCUUUCGCUGGGUUGAAAGGCCAUGCUUUGGGUGUGGUUGAUUUGAACUGGUAAAGAAGUACCGGCUAACUACGUG